RNAcentral lists this ribosomal RNA (465 nucleotides) under uncultured bacterium. Its description in RNAcentral is "partial 16S ribosomal RNA". It matches the Rfam family "Bacterial small subunit ribosomal RNA", at positions 28 to 507 of the family's 1533-position model. The record is from RNAcentral.
GACGAACGCUGGCGGCGUGCUUAACACAUGCAAGUCGAGCGAGGCCCCUCCUUCGGGAGGGUGUCCUAGCGGCGAACGGGUGAGUAACACGUGGGCAACCUGCCCUCAGCUCUGGGAUAACUCCGGGAAACCGGGGCUAAUACCGGAUACGACCUCCACGGGCAUCUGCGGAGGUGGAAAGUUUUUCGGCUGAGGAUGGGCCCGCGGCCUAUCAGCUAGUUGGUGGGGUAGUGGCCCACCAAGGCGACGACGGGUAGCCGGCCUGAGAGGGCGACCGGCCACACUGGGACUGAGACACGGCCCAGACUCCUACGGGAGGCAGCAGUGGGGAAUAUUGCGCAAUGGGCGGAAGCCUGACGCAGCGACGCCGCGUGAGGGACGAAGGCCUUCGGGUUGUAAACCUCUUUCGGCAGGGACGAAGCGAGAGUGACGGUACCUGCAGAAGAAGCACCGGCCAACUACGUG